RNAcentral lists this ribosomal RNA (669 nucleotides) under Triticum aestivum (bread wheat). Its description in RNAcentral is "partial small subunit ribosomal RNA". Lineage: Eukaryota; Viridiplantae; Streptophyta; Magnoliopsida; Poales; Poaceae. The record is from RNAcentral.
AUGGUUCAUUGUGAUGUUCCAGUUGAUAACAGGAAAUUGUGGAAGCUCAAAAUCCCUCUAAGAGUGAAGAUUUUCCUCUGGUUUCUUAACAGAGGAGUCAUCCUAACUAGAGACAAUCUGGCACGACGAAACUGGCAUGGUUCCAAGACAUGUGUCUUUUGCCAACAUGACGAGUCUAUUAAACACUUAUUUUUUGAGUGCAAGUUCGCUCGGGCAGUUUGGGCCAUAGUUCAAGUAGCUUCGAAUCUAUACCCACCACGUAGUGCACGGAACAUGUUCGGUAACUGGUUGCGGGGUAUUGAUAAACAAUUUUCUGCACAUAUUCUUGUGGGAGCGGCGGCCUUAUGCUGGGCACUGUGGCUUACCAGGAAUGAUGUGAUUUUUAAUAACAAAUGUGUCUCAUCUCCUAUGCAGGUUAUUCAUGUGUGUACACGAUGGCUCCGUACUUGGUCUAUCCUGCAGAGGCCGGAGGACAUAGACCUUUUUAUGAUGGCGUCUACAUGGCUGGAGCAUACGGCCAGGGAGGUUUUCUACCCCCAUGGAUGGCGGUGUGACCUACGGAUAGGAUCUGCCACUCCUUAUGCUGGACAUGUUUUUUUUCGAUUGACAUUGUAUCAAAUUAUUUUUGCUUUUAGGGUAUUCUGGAAUUUUUUGGCUGUGUGCAUCUAG